UGAGGAAUAUUGGUCAAUGGGCGCAAGCCUGAACCAGCCAUGUCGCGUGCAGGAAGACUGCCCUAUGGGUUGUAAACUGCUUUUAUAGUAGAAGAAACACAUCUACGUGUAGAUGUCUGCCAGUAUACUAUGAAUAAGCAUCGGCUAACUCCGUGCCAGCAGCCGCGGUAAUACGGAGGAUGCAAGCGUUAUCCGGAUUUAUUGGGUUUAAAGGGUGCGUAGGCGGGACUGUAAGUCAGGGGUGAAAUACUGCAGCUUAACUGUAGCAUUGCCUUUGAAACUGCCGUUCUUGAGUACAGUUGAGGUAGGCGGAAUGUGGUGUGUAGCGGUGAAAUGCAUAGAUAUACCACAGAACGCCGAUUGCGAAGGCAGCUUACUAAGCUGUUACUGACGCUGAGGC
Molecule: ribosomal RNA, 400 nt
Filed under: uncultured bacterium
Lineage: Bacteria
Description: bacterial SSU rRNA
Rfam family: Bacterial small subunit ribosomal RNA
Source: RNAcentral